AAAUAACGAAAAUCCCCCCUGACAUCCCUUUCACUUGAUGAUUUAUUGCUUUUAUAAAUUUAUUUAUUACUUUGUAAUUUGUAUUGAUAAUUUGAUAUUAUAAUUUUUUUAUUUUUUUAUUUGAAAAAGGGCAUCUUCCCCAACCAAACUUAUCCCGUCACCACCGGCCCAACCAAAUUACUCUUCAUCCAUUUCAGCCCUCAAACCGCCGCCUGCCACCUCUGCUUUACCUCCCUCCGCCGCCUCUGUUUCGCCGCCCUCCGCUUGCCCAACUCUGCUUCGUCGCCCUCCGCCGCCUGCCGCCUCUGCUUCAUCGUCCAUCGAAAAUUAAGGACUAUAACCCGAAAGCACAUCACACCGAAACACCAAAUUAAUCAAUCUUUCUCUCUCCCGAAAAAAAAACAACAAAUUGAGGACUGUAUUGUUGAUUAAGCUUUGAUUCCAAAAACUCAAAUUCCUCGGGCGGAUUCAAACUCUGAUUCAAAGAAAAAAAUUUGGUUUGGGGCUGAAAUUGAUGGACCGCCGCCGAAGGUUUCAACGGCGGAAGGUAUAUCCCUUGCUACAGUGUCAUAUUUCCACCAAAUGGGUUGCUUCCACCACUGCAAUUCGCCGCCGCCGUCACCCGUUGAUUGAUUGCGGCAAAGAAAUAACCACCAGCCGGCAGUCAAAUUUUGAGACCGGAGCACCGGCGAAAAAAACCCAAUUUCUUUGCCUUGUGAUGGUGAAGGGGCGGAUUAAAUAGCAGAUUUUUCGAAAUCGAACUAGCAGAUAUGGGGGGAUGGAUUGAAAUUGGUUCGGUGGUGGUGGGGGUGGUGCGGCGGAUCAGAGGUUGUGGUGGUUGGUGUUUGAUUUGU
RNAcentral lists this long non-coding RNA (854 nucleotides) under Erythranthe guttata (spotted monkey flower). RNAcentral's name for it is "long non-coding RNA (EGUT_LNC000826)". Lineage: Eukaryota; Viridiplantae; Streptophyta; Magnoliopsida; Lamiales; Phrymaceae. The record is from RNAcentral.